RNAcentral lists this ribosomal RNA (470 nucleotides) under uncultured Sphingobacteriales bacterium. RNAcentral describes it as "bacterial SSU rRNA". It matches the Rfam family "Bacterial small subunit ribosomal RNA", at positions 910 to 1382 of the family's 1533-position model. Lineage: Bacteria; Pseudomonadati; Bacteroidota; Sphingobacteriia; Sphingobacteriales. The record is from RNAcentral.
UUGACGGGGCCCGCACAAGCGGAGGAACAUGUGGUUUAAUUCGAUGAUACGCGAGGAACCUUACCCGGGCUUAAAUGUAGAGUGCAUUUUUUAGAGAUAGAAAUUCCCUUCGGGGCUUUCUGCAAGGUGCUGCAUGGUUGUCGUCAGCUCGUGCCGUGAGGUGUCGGGUUAAGUCCCAUAACGAGCGCAACCCUUAUCGUUAGUUGCCAGCUGGUAAAGCAGGGGACUCUAGCGAAACUGCCACCGUAAGGUGAGAGGAAGGUGGGAUGACGUCAAAUCAGCACGGCCCUUAUGUCCAGGGCUACACACGUGUUACAAUGGCCGGCACAGAGGGCAGCUACCUGGUGACAGGAUGCUAAUCUCGAAAACCGGUCUCAGUUCGGAUCGAAGUCUGCAACUCGACUUCGUGAAGCUGGAUUCGCUAGUAAUCGCGCAUCAGCCAUGGCGCGGUGAAUACGUUCCCGGGCCUU